AAGAUUUUAAGUUAAAAAAACUUAAAGCCUUCAAAGUUUUACAUAUAUUAUUCUAAUUAUUUAAAUCUUA
Molecule: transfer RNA, 70 nt
Filed under: Lasioglossum lativentre
Lineage: Eukaryota; Metazoa; Arthropoda; Insecta; Hymenoptera; Halictidae
Description: tRNA-Trp
Source: RNAcentral